This 12958-nucleotide long non-coding RNA is filed under the name Gossypium barbadense (sea-island cotton). RNAcentral describes it as "long non-coding RNA (GBAR_LNC017282)". Lineage: Eukaryota; Viridiplantae; Streptophyta; Magnoliopsida; Malvales; Malvaceae. The record is from RNAcentral.
UUUUCUUUUGCAAACGGUACCGUUUUAUUUCUCUCCCCCCGAAUCCCUUUUCUUUCCCGAUACCCUUUUCUUUCUCAGCCUAUUCUUUGCUUGACUAAAAUUAAAAACCUGUUCUUCUAUUUUAUACCCGAAAAUCCUCUCUACCUGUUGUUCUAUUUUAUUUCUCAGUCUGUUCUUUGAUUUCUCGAAACCUAAACACCCACUGUGCCCCCUUUCCUCAGAGGCUGUAACCGAGCAACUGUUUACCUAGUUUCCCGACGCCUAGCCACUUUACCCAGCAGCGAACUUAGUCUUAGCAAGUAUGUGAGGUUUUUGAUGUUUUUUUGUUUGGGUUUGGUAAAAUUUACUUUAGUUUUCAAUCGUGUUAAAAUUUUAGAAAUUUUAAUUUGGGUAGUUCAAAUGUGCUUUAUUCAUUAACUGACCUAGAAUUCGGAUUUUGGAUUUAGAUUAAUAAAUUACAUGCCAUUAAGAUCGAUGGGUUACGUGAAGAAAUCCAUUCAGAGGGAUUUGGACAAUUGCAAUGCUAAGUUUUAAAUGAUUGAUAGAUUUUUGUUUCUUUUCUUUUAAGGAUGAUAAAUUUUUUUUAAAAUUUUUGUAGUUGUCAGGAUUUUUUGUAAGACUUUAUUAUCAAAAUGUAAGACCUCAAAGCGAGGAAAGCUCUCUCCGACUAUUUUUUUUGUUCACAAAAUUUGAACUCAGAGACUUUACUAAUCAGUAGGGACUUAACCUUGUUAGAGAAAAGUUAAAUUCAUGAGACCUUCGGGUUAAAGAUUACCUAAAUUCUCAGCUUGAGUUAGUGGCAACUUUAUAGUGAAUGAGAGCAGAUCUGUGGUGUUUCAAAUCUGGGGUACACUUUACACCAUUUAGAACUAUCUCAAAUUUGGAGUCAUUGCCAUUGGGUUGAAUUUGAUGAAACAUCUAUAGGCAAUAAUACAAUUAAUCACAGUGGCAUUCCAGGGUAUGAUUGUUUUUUUUAUUGAAGCAUAUAAAAGAACAUAUAUGUUGCAUUUUCUGCUUACAUAGUUCUUCCUUCCAGCUCUGAAUUGUAUGGACUUGAGCCUGCCCUGAUGGCCUUGCUUGGACUGCCCACAAUGGGACAAAAGAAGUAUUUGAUAGCAUGAAUAGUAUUUGUUAGCAAUAAAAUAAACUAAUGUAAUUAUUAGAAUAGUAAUUAUAUUUUUUAUACUUGUUUUUGUUAUUCUUUAAAAAAAAUUAGUAAUUUAUUAAUCCUUUGCUAAACAAAUUUUUUCUUUAAUGCAGUUGCGAAGAUGGUUGCACACAAAUUCACUGUUGAUUUGAAUAAACCUCUUGUCUUCCAGGUACGAGUAAGAUCAUAUGUUUGAAUUUGGUUUAUCUUAUGGAACAAGCAUAUGUGGUGACAGUUUUGGUGUUACUGGUUUUCAGUUCACUUAUUUAGUUUCUUAUGUGAUUAAAAUAGCUACAUAUAGUCAUGUUAUGUGAUUACAUUGGCAAGUUCUUGAUAUAGAGCACGAUUUUGCAGGGCAGUUACUAAGCUCCAAAUAUUCUAUUUCUUUCUCUUUUUUGGUCAGACUGAAUUAAGCAGGCCAAAGUGUGUAAAGGUAAUAGCAGUGAAUUUCACCCUUAUUUUUAUAACUGCUGCUUUCUCUUCACUUGUACUUAUUAUUUAUUUUCUCCUUUGAUGAAAUGUUGCCAGCCUCUUGAGUAGUUGUGUUAGAUUGUUGUUUAGGAAAUUUGUUAGCAUUUGAGGAAGCUUCACGAAUUUUUGUUUCCUAUUUGCAAGCUGGUUUAGGUAAAUAUUUGCUAGCACUUGGUGUGUGUAUCUACUGUACUGGGUUUAUGAAUGUUAAUUUGUUUUCUUGCAGGGUUUUGGUUUGGGGAAACAUUUAAGUUUGGGUUUGGAGAUACGUAGUUAUCAGCAUUAGUUGGCAGAUAACAUUGGCAGAUAACAUUGUCCAAGUGCAGGUUGCAGCUCUUUGCCAAGGUGCGCUAUCCUUUUUAAUAUCUGGUACAGACUAGAAUUAAUGGUUGUUUUUAUUCCUGUUUUCUUUAGUCUUUGACCACUAUCACAUAAAGAGCUUGAUAUUGAAAAACAGAAGCAUAAUGCUUGGUAUAUAUUUUCCAGAUAUUGUAGAAUUAACACGAAAACACAAAUCGCAUAUUUUUAUAAAACAAAAAAUAAAGGGGUCACAAUCCUUCUUAUCCACUCUCCAACAUUCGCUUUUUGCAGUAGUAAAUAUAUUAAAAAAAUUAUGUCCAAAAUGUAAAUAAAAUAAUGAUAGAAGCAAGCAAUCUCAUCUGCAGAAGGUGAUGAUUUUGUUUUGCUUUUAUUCGGUAGAAACAAUGGUUACAUUUGAUUUUAGUGGAAUUUUUGUUUAUUCCUUUUGGGUUAGGAUAAAAUCAAAGUGGUGAGGAGCACCGACAUUCCCUUUUUUACACGUAUUCAUUUUCCUUAAGCUGCCAAAAUAACAAACUAAGGACUUCCAAUUCUGUGAAUUUUCUGAAUAACUUUUUUAUUAUUGUUGGGUGGGAAGAAUGCUCUAAGUGUAUGACUACUCAAUUUAUUUAAAUUAAACCAAUUUUACUAUUCCUCUUCCCUUGUCUCCAUCUAUAUAAAAUUCUGUCUUUUAUUUUAUUUUCCGGGAAAAACUAAAAUGAGAAAAAAACUCUAUUGUGGGUUUUUCCAAUAGACCAAUAAAAUAAAUAGAGUGAAAAUUAUAUUAAAAUAAAAGUGAAAUGAUUUAUGCAUGCAAAUAAAAUAUCUUGAUAUUUGUGAAAAAUGUUCCCCCAAGUCAUGAUCAAAAUGCUGAAAAUUGCAGUCCAAAAAUAUAUUUGUUGAACCCCACUAAAAUCCUUCUGCUGCACUGAUCAUAUGUGGUGGUUGUGGGACACUGGAAUUCAGCCAGUGUUUCAACUCUCACUGAUGCAGCCAUCUUUGAAUAUAUAAAAUUAUUCAUAAAUAGAUUCCAUGAUUUUGAUCUAAUUGAAUAAAUAAAAAUUAAUGUUUUAACUUUUAUCACAUUUAAUAUAAAAACACAAACAUAAAUGAUCAUAUCUAAGGAUAAUACCCCCUUUCCUAGAGAUUUCACUUUGUUUUAUUUAUUUAUUUAAAGAAAUUGGAAUCCAAUGAAGCGUGUUUAUUGCCAAUGAUGUUUUAACACUUCAUUAUCUUUUUACUUUUAAAUUGAUGGUAUUAAUUGAGGUGAUGGGAAAAUCGUUCAUACAUACCAACUAUGGUGGGGGCAGCUUAUGCUUACAAUUUUGUUGCCAGUUUAUUGGCUGACACUGUAAGCUUCCUUUUGUUGGCUGAUUUUUGACACACCCAUUUAUUCUACCAACCUAACUUCCAUCUUCAAUCUUCAACCAUGAUGCUUUUCCCUUUUACUAUUUUUUCACUACUCAAAUAUGAUAUUAUAUAUGCAUAGAUUUUCAGAUAACCAGAAUUGAAAUUUAAACAUUUAUGUUUAAUUUUGAUUUUAUUUUUUAUUUUUAUAAUUUUAAAUUAUUUGUUAAUGUAACAUAUAAUACUAUGUUAAAUUAUAUAUAUUUUUUAUUUUUAUAAUUUUCAAUUUAGCUAAAAUAAUGAGUAAAUAGACAAAAAAAUAUAAAUAUUAAGAUCUAAAUUUACUGUUAUAUAUUAUUAUUUCUUCGCGUUGAGGAGCAAAAGUUACUCAUUUGAGAUAAAUUAAUUACUAAGUAAAAUGACUUAAAUUAAUAUCAUAUUUUGAAUUUAGAAUGAAUUUAAUUUUUCUUCUAAUAAAGUUACUCAUUUCAAGGAUAUUAAAAUUUUAAAGUAAUUGUUUUCUUAAAAAUAUUUUAUAUUAAUUAUUAUCUCAUGAUAAUAGCUAAAUAAAAAAUUACAAAUUAGAAGAGAAGAUGAUAACUUGAGUUCUAGUUUUUAGAUUUUAAUUGUGUUAUUAAUUUAUUAUUUUAAAUUCUAAAUUUAAAUUCAUUAAUUUUUAUAUUUAGUUUUAAAGUUAAAAUAUUCAUAGAAAAUUUAAUUUAAAUAAUAUUUUUUAUUUAUCGUUAAAAGUAUAUAAUUUAAAGUUCUAAUUUCAAAAAUAAAACAUAAUAUAAUAUUUAUCAUAGAAAUAAAUAUUAUUUAAUUAAAAUAAAAUUUUUAAAGGAAAAUAAUAUUUAUCUUAAUGUUAAAAUUAUUUUAAUAUUUUUCAUAAAUAUUAUCAUAAAAAUAAAUUGAUCGAUGUUAAUGUGUAGUAUAAAGUUAAAAAGUUCAUGGAAAUUUAAUUUAAAAAUGAACUCAAAAUAGAUGAAAAAUUAAUAAUUAUUAACUUUAUUAACAUAUAAUUAUUAAUUUGUUAAUUUUUGUCUUUUAAGUAUAGUAAACAUAAAGGUGAUGAAAACACAAAUUUAAAAAUUAAAGGAGUAUAAUUAAAGGGUUAAAAUUUAAACUUAAAAUUUAAAGAUGAUAAUCAUAACUUACAUAAACAUUUAAAGUUUAUGAUUAUCAUAACUUACAUAAUCAUUUAAAGAAUAAAAAAAAACUUUGGACCAUAAUUUACAGAACUUACAUAAAUAUAUAUCACAUCAUAACUUGCAUAACUUAUAUAAAUAUAUAUCAUAUCAUAACUUACAUAAAACUUUGAAUUAAAAUAUAUAAAAAUCACAGAAAUUUGAGUAUGUAUUACAUAAAACUUAUAAAUAAACAACUUACCUGAAUUAGUUUACACCCAUUAAAUACUUGAUACUUGAUAUGUAUUAUCUAUUUUAGUAUAAUGACAUGAUUUAAAUCAAUUUAGAACACUUAAGUAACCGUAAUUUAUUGUCAACUUUAGACUUCAAGAGCUACGAAAUGGAUAAGAGUUGGAUGAAUUUGUCAAGGGUAAGCAAUGACUAUCGAAAUGGAGUACAAACUUUUCUAAAUUUUACAUUUCAAAAUGCAAACUAAGAGAAUAUGAUUCUUUGCCCGUGUAAGAAGUAUGGCAACAUCAAUUGGCAUAUUCGUGAAGUUGUCUACAAACAUCUAAUUGUUAAUGGCUUUAUUCGGAAGUAUAAAAAAUAGAUUUUUCAUGGAGAGUGUACACCUCGUAGAACUUCUUCAACGAUUAAUUCGGCUUAUCCUCAUAAUGCCUACCAUUAGUCUGUUAGAGAAGAUGACAUGGAAGGUAUGUUGCGGGAUACAUUUAAUAUGCGCAGUCAUGGUUUGCAAUCGUUUCCACUUGAAAUUAUUGCAUCCGAUGAUUGUGAUAUUGGUGGAAAUGUUUUUACCGAAUGGGGAAGAAGUGUACUUAAUGAAGAGCCAAAUGGAGAAGUGGCGAAGAUUUACAAGUUACUUAAUGAAAUUAAUGAAGAACUUUAUGAGGGAUCAAAAAAUUUAAAAUUGUCCUUCUGCAUUUAUCUUUUUCACUUAAAAUGUCUGGGAGGGUGGACCAGAAACUCUGACAUUACUGUUAGAGUUUUUGAGAGAUAUGUUUUUGUUUGCAAAAAUUUCUCAUUCAUGCAAAUAUAUGAAGAAACUGAUAAAAGAUUUAGGCCUUGGGUACGACAAAAUUCAUAGUUGCCCAAAUAAUUGCAUGUUGUAUUGAAGUGGUCGGAAAAAGUAACAGUCUUGUCAUGUUUGCGGUAAAUCUCAUUGGAUGAAUAGUAAUACAAAAGAUGUGAGUGAGGAUGAAGGUGAGACACAGUUAAGAAAGAAGCCAAUAAAGAUUUUGCGAUGUUUUCCACUAAUACCAAUGCUUCAAAGGUUUUUCAUGUCGUUAAAGACAGUCGAGUCUAUGAGGUGGCAUCAUGAUCAACGAACCAAUGAUGGAUUAUUAAGGCAUCCUGCAGAUUCUUUAGCUUGAAAAUCAUUUGAUAGUAAAUUUUCAAGCUUUGCAAGCGAUCCUCGGAAUGUGAGGAUUGAACUAGCAUCUAAUGGAUUUAAUCAUUUUAAAAUCAUGAGUACUCUGUAUAGUACUUGGCCUGUAGUGCUUGUUCCUUACAAUAUGCCUCUGUGGAUUUGCAUGAAGCAAUCUUUUUUUAUCUUAUUUAUGAUUAUCCCUGGAGAGAAAGGUCCCGGGAAUGAUAUCGACAUUUAUAUGCAGCCACUUAUUGAAGAGUUGAAAUAGUUAUUGGCGGGUGUUGAAACAUAUGAUGUCUUGAGAAAACUUUUGUUUACGAGCAACUUUGUUGUGGACUAGUAAUGAUUUUCGGCUUAUCCUAAUUUAUCUUGUUGGAGUACUAAAGGACGUUAUGCUUGUCAUUGUGCGGCGCAAACAUGUUCGAAGUGGUUACAUAAUAGGAAGUUUUCUUAUAUGGGGCAUUGUCGGUGGUUAGUGGUUAUAUAAUGGGAAGUUCUUUUAUAUGGGGCAUCGUCGGUGGUUAGAUGAAAAUCAUAGAUUUAGAUUUCAGAGGACUCUAUUUGAUGGUGCUGAAGAGUUGAGAGAAGCUUUUGAGUAGAUCAUUGGUUCUGAAAUCUUAUUCAUAUUAAAAGAUAUCAAUUUUAGUUAUGGGAAGAUGAAUCAACCACCUAACACGCAAACAAAGAGAAGAUUGAGGGAGGUGUACGUUGGCGAUGUUGACUGGUAGAUUGAUGAUGAAUUUGAUGAAAAGGAUGAUUCUAAUGAGGCGGACUUGUGGAAAAAAAAGAAAUAUUUUUUUUAAGUUGCAUUAUUGGGAGUAUCACAUUUUACGACAUAAUCUUGAUGUCAUGCAUAUGGAAAAAAAUGUUUGCGAGAACAUCAUCGGGACAAUUUUGAAUGUUGAUAAAAAAUCGAAAGAUAAUCUUCAAAGUCAACUUGAUCUAGUUGACUUGGGAAUUCGAUGUGAUCUUCACCUCCAAUUACUUCUGAAUAGAAAAUCUCGAUUGUUGCCUUCUAUUUUUCAAUGUUGAAGAAAGAAAAAAAGUAUUCUACACGGUGUUGAAGGAUAUAAAAGUUCCAGAUGCGUAUGCAUCAAAUAUAUCUCGAUGUACGAGUCUUAAAAAUCGAAGACUAUAUUCCUUAAAAUCAUAUGAUUAUCACAUCUUGAUGCAAGAGUUACUGCAAGUUGCUUUACGGUGUUGUAUGUCAAAAAAGGCGACGUCUUGUAUAAUUGAACUAUCCAAUAUAAUGAAAGCUAUUUAUGGUAAAGUUUUGAUUAUUGAAGAACUUGGGAAAGUAUAAGAUCGAGCCGUCUUGACUUUAUGCAAUUUGGAGAAGAUCUUUCUACCUUCGUUCUUUAUUAUUAUAGUACACUUGCUAAUCCAUCUCCCUCAUGAAGCAAAACUUGGUGGAUUGAUUUUCUAUCGGUGAAUGUAUCCUAUAGAUGUGCUAAUUUAUUUGAAAAGUUUUUAUUCAUUCAUGAAUAUACCUUUAGUUACAAUUUUUGAUAAUGUUGUAUAUCAUGUUUAGGUUUCUAUGUAAAUUGAAGUCUUAUUGUCAUAAUAAGCGUUAUCCAGAAGGAUCAAUUGCUGAAAGUUACUUGGCAAAAGAGUAUGACUUUUUGAUCUAGAUAUUUAGAAGAUGUUAAAACAAGAAUGAAUAGACCAAGUAGAAAUGCUGGACUCACUAAUCAUCACUUACCUGAAAUUUAUUUAUUUCGAAGUUAUGGAGAACCAAUCGGUAAAUUGCACAUUUAGAUGAUAGAUCUUGGUACAAGCACAUUAAUAUGUUCUUUUUCACCAUGAUUCAAUUGAAACAUUACGCAAGUAAGUUUUAAAAUUUGAUAAAUAUUUAUCUUUUUAAUUUAUUUAUCUUCUAACCAAGUAAUCCACUUUUUAACGUAGUAAGUGCAAACAAGUCUUGAGAUCUCGUUCACGCUCUCGAAGAUUACAACAUUGAGAGAUUUAUAAGUUAUUUAUAGAAUCUUUUCAUGAAUGGUUAGGGCAAAUCGUAUGCAACUGAAGCUUUCAUUGACAAAUAAUAAUGUUUUCGUAUAACAUUUAUAAUUAAUCAAUUUACUUUCGAUUUAAUAGGUUUGGAGUAGAAAGGACGUCAAUGACGAAGUUAAAUGGCUUUUCCAAGGUCCGAAUAGAGUAGUAAAAAGAUAUACUGCCUUCUUCAUUAAUGGAUUCAAGUUUCAUACAAAAUCUCGUAAAAGAUUGAGGAGGAUUCAAAAUUGUGGAAUAGUUAAUUCUUCAAUUACAAGUUAUGCUAGUGCUAGGGACAGUAAUCCUGUUGAGGGAAAUGUGGAGUAUUACGAGCCUCUUACUGACAUUAUUGAGUUGGGUUACUAUGGCAAACAGAAAGUUGUCUUAUUUCGAUAUGAUUGGGCUGAUGUUAAUACUGCUCGUAGAAUUAAAAAAAAAGAUCAAUUUGGUUUUACAAUGGUGAAUUUCUCUUGAUUAAUUCACACUGGACAACAAUUGAUAGAUGAGUUGUAUGUAUUUUCAUUUCAAGUCAAAUAAGUUUUUUACUUGAAAGAUCCAAUUGAUGAGGGUUGGUACGUUAUACUCCGUAACACCCCUAAAGACUUGUUUAACAUGGGCAAUGGAAGUAGAGAUGACAUCGACGAAAUAUCAGAAAUUGUCUUUUCCAGAAAAAACUUAAAUGAAAUUAUCCCUAGUACUAGUACACAAUUUCAAUGGGUUCACUAGGAUGUGGAUGAAGAUAUUUAUGAAUUAUGAUGUAAUAAUAUUUUACGAUUUUUUAAUUAUAUGUAAUAUUAUAAUUUAAAUCUUAAUCUUGUUAAAUAUUUCAACUAUUUUAUAUAUACUAUUAUUUUUGUAAUUAGUUACUAAAAUUAUUGUUGUACUAUUAUAUGCAGCCCAUUCUUCUUGGUCUAUUCAAUCUUAUUUUAACAUAUUCUAAAUAUCUAAAAUAGAAAUUCAUAUACUCCUCUGCCAAGUAACAUUUAGCAAUUGAUCUUUCUAGAUAGCGUUUAUUAUGACAAGAAGACUUCAAUUUGCAUAGGAACUUAAACACGAUAUACAACAUUAUCAAAAGUUGUAACUAAAGGUAUAAAGUUGAAUGAAUGAAUACUUUACAAAUAAAUUAGCACCUUUCUAUAGGAUACAUCCAUCGAUAGAAAAUCAGUCCACCAAGUAUUGCUUCAUUAGGGAGAUGGAUUAGCUAGUGUUCCAUAAUAGUGAAGAAGGAAGGUGGAAAGAUAUUCUCCAAAUUGCAUAAAGUCAAAGCGGCUCGGUCUUAUACUUUUUCAAGUUCUUCAACAUUUAAAAUUUUUCCACAAAUAGCUUUCAUUAUAUUGGAUAGUUCAAUUAUACAAGACGUCACCUUUUUUGACAUAUAACAUCGUAAAGCAACUGACAGUAAAUCUUGCAUCAAGAUGUGAUAAUCAUGUGAUUUUAAAGAAUAGUCUUCGAUUUUUAAAACUCACACAUUGAGAUAUAUUUGAUGCAUACGCAUCUGGGACCUUUAUAUCCUUUAACACCGUGUAGAAUACUUCUUUUUCUUUCUUCGACAUUGCAAAAAUAUGUGACAACUGAUAUUUCUCAUUCGAAAGUACUUGGGGAUGAAGAUCAUGCCGAAUUCCCAUGUUAACUAAAUAAGUCGCCUCUGAAAAUUGUUUUUUGAUUUUCCAUCGACAUUCAAAAUUGUCCCAAUGAUGUUCUCGCAAACAUUCUUCUCAAUAUGCAUGACAUCAAGAUUGUGUCGUAAAAUGUGAUGCUUCCAAUAAGGUAACUCAAAAAAAUACUUCUUUUCUUCUAGAAGUUUACUUCAUUAGGAUCAUCCUCUUCAUUAGAUUCAUCCUUCGAUCUUCUCUUUGUUUGCGUGUUGGGUGGUUGAUUCAUCUUUCUAUAACUGAAAUUGAUACCUUUCAAUAUGAACAAGAUUUCAAAUCCAAUGGCCUGCUUAAGAGCUUCUCAUAACUCUUCAGUACCGUCAAAUAGAGUCCUCUGAAAUCUAAAUCUAUGAUUUUUAUUUAAUCACCGACGAUGCCCCAUAUAAGAGAACUUCUUUCCACUAUAUAACCAUUUCGAACAUGUUUGCGCAACAUAAUAAGGACAAGCAUAACGUCCUUUGGUACUCCAACCAGAUAAAUUGACAUAAGCCGGGAAAUCAUUAAUGAUCCACAAAAAAGCUGCACAUAAAUAAAGUUAUUCUUUCUCAAUGCAUCAUAUGUCUCAACACCCGCCCAUAAUUGUUUUAACUCUUCAAUAAGUGACUGUCAAUAAAUGUCAAUAUCAUUUUCGGGAUCUUUCUUUCUAGAGAUAAUCAUAAAUAAGAUAAAAGAAGAUUGCUUCAUACAAAUCUAUGGAGGUAAAUUGUAAGAAACAAGCACUAUAGGUUAAGUACUGUACGAAGUGCUCAUGAUUUUAUAAGGAUUAAAUCCAUCAGAUGCUAGCCCAAGCCUCACACUUCGAGGAUCGCUUGCAAAGCUUGGAAAUUUACUGUCAAAUGAUUUUCAAGUUAAAGAAUCCGCAGGAUGCCUUAAUAAUUCAUCAUCGGUUCGUUGAUCAUGAUGUCACGUCAUAGAUUUGGCUGUCUUUGACGACAUGAAAAGCCUUUGAAGCAUUGGUAUUAGCGGAAAAUAUCAUAAAAUCUUAAUUGGCUUCUUUUUUGACUGUGCUGCACAUUCAUCCUCAUUCACAUCUUCUGUAUUUCUAUUCAUCCAACGAGAUUUACCGCAAACAUGAUAAGACUGUUGGUUUUUCCGAUCACCUCAAUACAACAUGCAGUCAUUUGGGCAACUAUAAAUUUUGUUGCACCCAGGCCUAAAUAUUUUAACAGUUUCUUCAUAUCUUUGCAUGAAUAAGGGAUUUUUACAAACGAAAACAUAUCUCUUAAAAACUCUAACAGUAUUGUCAAAGAAUUUUCGGUCUACCCUCCCAAACAUUUUAAGUGAAAAAGACGAAUAUAGGAUAUUUUUGAAAAUUUUGAUCCAUCAUAAAGUUCUUCAUUCAUUUCAUUAAGUAACGUGUAGGACUUUGCCGCUUCUCCAUUUGGCUCUUCAUCAAGUACACUUCUUUCUGUUUCGGUAAAAGUAUUUCCACCAAGAUUACAAUCAUCAAAUGCAAUAAAGUCAGGUGGAAAUAUUGCAAACCAUGACCGCGCAUGUUAAAUGCAUCCAAUCUUUCUAUCAUCCAAUCUUUUGGAAUUGAUAGAUCCUUUAAAUUUAAUAAUUUAGGUUGUAUUUCUGUAGUAAAUUUAUUAAGUUCGAAGAGCUCAAUAAUUUUGUUAUUUAUCUCUUUAAUUUCAACCUCUGUAGUAUUUGUAUAUUCAUUAAUAGAAGUCCAACUUAUUGCUAGAUCUUCUGCUAGAUCAUGAAUAUCAGAAUUUUUUGUCUGAAUUUUAAAGCAUAAACACUCUUCUAUUAGACAAUUUGUAAUGGAUAUAAAGUAAUUUGGUUUAACCUUAAAUCUUAUUACACUAGUAUGCAAAUUAGACUGAAUUCCUUCAAUAAGUGCUUUUAUUUGAUUUUCAAAUCUUAUCUAAAAGAACAGCUAUUAUAGGAAUAUCAUGAUCUUUCCUAAAUAGUGCUUUAAUAGUAAUCAUUAUUAUCCCUAGAUGGAUAUAUCGUACUUGAAUAUAUUUCUUUCUAUUCCUCUUAAUUUUAUCUUUAGUAAAUAAUGAGAUUUCUGCUAAUCCUCUUCUUGUAUCCUUAGCUACAGUAUUUCCACUUAUCUUCUCUAUAUGCCUCUGAGUCCAUAUUUUAAACUUAAAUAUUUUAUAUAUUUCUUCUUUAGAAAUAUGAUUUUUAUUAAUUUUUUCUAUUAUUUUAUUAGAGAGAUUUUUUUCUUCUCUAAUUAAAUUUCCUAAUUUUAUAUCUUGUUGUUCAGAGUUCGGAAUUUCUUCUAAACCAUAUAGAAAAAUGGGAAAUUAUUAAAAAUCCUAUAAAAGCAAUAGGAAUAGAUGAUAAUAAAACCAUAAUUCAAUAUAAAGCUAAAAAUAUUCCAAUCUACAUAAAUAAUGUAAGGUUUGUAAUUCCUAAAAUUUUAUUUUUCCUGAAAUGUAUGGAGAUAUAUUAUUAGGAGAUAAUUUUAUAUGUCAGUAUUUACCAUUUUCUAUUAAUAAAAAGUCAAUUAGUUUAUUUGUAGAAAUUUCUUAUAUAGAAAUACCAUUAGUUAAUAAUAAUAAAUUUGUGUGUAAUAAAACUUACACCAUUAAAAGAAUAAGUUAUGUACUUUUAUGUACUAAUAAAUUAUUGUUGAUUAUCUUAGCAGGCCUUAUGGAUAGAGGUAAAAAACCUUUAGAAACAGUUGGUGAAUGGAUUGUUAUUUAUAAAAAAACCCAACAAAGGGAAAGUAACAAAUUUUAAACAAGGAUUUGUACCUGUUCAAGUACUAUUUUAUCCUAACUAGUGAUACUAUGUGCUAUAUUCAAUGGUAAAAUCAACCAAUUGGAACUUCUUUAUCAUUGACUCCAAAUACGGUUAGUCAAUCACAAUGGUCCUAAAAUCUAAAUUCAGUGUUUCAAGCCAGUUAUGCUGAAAUGAUUAAGGGAACAGAAAAUUUAUUGAAACAAUAAUAAAUUCAAGAUUUUAAUUAUCUUUCUAAAAUAAAAGAUUUUUAUAAUCUUGGCUUAUCACCAGAAUUUUAUAAUCUUAUUAAUGAAGUAUGGAAAACCCAUAUUUCUGUACAAAAAUCACCAAUUUCAGGGGGUAGGUGCGAGGGUUUAUUGGAAGGCUUGUAUAUUAAAGUAGAGAAAUUUACAAAGGAAAAAACUAUUAGCAAAAGAGAAGAAAGCUAAGUAUUUCUCGAUGCUAUACAAUUGGUUUCCUUCUUCUAUUUAUAACUGAAUUUCAAAACUCUAUACAAUUGUUCUUUGAAUCUCACGCAGUGUUUCUGAUACAGAUCCUAUCUCUUUGUGGAUGUGGUUGCUUCCACGUUGCAUUUGUCGUAUUACUUCUUUGAUUGCAUGAACCUGAUUGCUUCCACUUUGCAUCGUUGAAUUAAUGGUUGUUUCCAUCAUCAUUGCUUACAUUAUUAGUUUGAUGAUAGUUUUGUUUGUAUCUGGAUGCCUUGUUUUUCAAGUUGCUUCUUCUUUCUUGGUGUUAGCCUUUUUUGGCUUUAUCCUUGUUGGAUGUUAACAAGAUUCAUUUCUUCGAUUUCAUCCAAAUUUAAUGAAUCAAAUGAAAGUCUUGGUGAAUUCUAAUUUUCCCA